RNAcentral lists this long non-coding RNA (211 nucleotides) under Prunus persica (peach). RNAcentral's name for it is "long non-coding RNA (PPER_LNC004985)". Lineage: Eukaryota; Viridiplantae; Streptophyta; Magnoliopsida; Rosales; Rosaceae. The record is from RNAcentral.
UCCAAUUUGAUUGGAAAAACUGUGAGAGUUCAAAUUAGAGAUUGAGGAUUCGAAUGGACACAAAAGAUUUGCCAAAACAUGAAUCAAAAAAAUUGAACAGAUUCAACAAUAUCCGCCUGUAUCGUGAGCUAGGGUUGGCUACAUAAAAUGCUAGGAGUGUCCAAUUUGUUUGGAAAAUGUAUGAGAAUUCAAAUUAGAGAUUCUGGAUUCG